AACGAACGCUGGCGGCAGGCCUAACACAUGCAAGUCGAGCGGACAGUCCGGGGUCAUCCGCGGCUGGCUGUGUCACGCGUGGGAAUAUGCACUCGUCUAUGGCAUAGUCCUGGGAAACUGAGAGCAAUACCGUACCCGACCUAUUGGCGGAAGAUAUAUCGAGGCAGUAUUAGCCCGAGUUGGAUUCGGUAGUUGGUGCGGUUAUGGCCUACCAAGCCGCCGAUCCACAGCUGGGUUGAGAGAAUGCUCAGCCACACUGGGAGUGAGACACGGCCCGGACUCCUACGGGAUGCAGCAGUGGGGAAUCGUAGACAAUGGGGGCAACCCUGAUGUAGCCAUGCCGCGUGAGUGAUGAAGGCAUUAGGGUUGUAAAGCUCUUUCAGCUAGGAAGAUAAUGACGGUACCAACAGAAGAAGCCCCGGCUAACUCCGUG
RNAcentral lists this ribosomal RNA (433 nucleotides) under uncultured bacterium. RNAcentral's name for it is "partial 16S ribosomal RNA". It matches the Rfam family "Bacterial small subunit ribosomal RNA", at positions 29 to 507 of the family's 1533-position model. The record is from RNAcentral.